UGGACUUAAACCAGAAGUGCUUAACUUAACUCUUUGGAGUCCUGGACCCCUCCUGGCAGUCUCAUAAAGCCUGUGGAUUUUCCUCUGAAUAAUGUUUAGAACCUAAGAUUUGACAGCAGGGAGUCUCCUAUUGCUUUAAAGUCCUUUUUCCAAAGAAAAUAACCUGAGUGUGAAAUGAAUUGACAGACUAAAUCGCGUAUUUGCGGCUGAGCCUGAGGAACUUU
Long non-coding RNA from Sarcophilus harrisii (Tasmanian devil), 224 nucleotides. RefSeq lists it as uncharacterized. NCBI's taxonomy places the organism in Eukaryota, Metazoa, Chordata, Mammalia, Dasyuromorphia, Dasyuridae. The record is from RefSeq and is a predicted model, not a curated record. The transcript is spliced from 2 exons.